UGAACCUGGGGGGCGGAGGUUGCAGUAAGUCAAGAUCGCACCAUUGCACUCCCGCUGGGCAACAGAGUGAGGCUCUGUCUCCAAAAAAAAAAAAACAAAAAACACAAAAACAAAAACGUUUUGGCCUCUCAUUUUUCUUUUUAAAGAAAUAAACGUUACAGAUAUAGUUGAAACCUUGUUCAAACCAUUCACUAAUCCCCAUCCCCCGUCUCCCUAAAAGGUAACCAUUAAACUGAAUUUGGCAGUUAACAUCCCCAUAGACCCCAACUUUAAAAGAGAGCAUUAGGUUGGAUGAAUUUUUUUUAACUUUUAUUUUAAGUUCAAAGCUACAUGAGCAGGUUUGUUACACAGGUAAACGUGUGUCAUGAGGGUUUGUUGCACAUAUAUUUCAUCACCCAGGUACUACGCCUAGUAUCUGUUAGUUAUUUUUCCUAAUCCUCUCCUUCUUCCUGCCCUCCAGCCUCCAAUAGGCCCCACUGUGUGUUGUUCCCCUCUAUGUGUCCAUGUAUUCUCAUCACUUGACACCCACUUAUAAGUAAGAACAUGCAGUAUUUGGUUUUCUGUUCCUGCCUUAAUUUGCUAAGGAUAACAGCCUCCAGCUCCAUCCAUGUCCCUGAAAAGGACAUAAUCUCACUUUUUAUGGCUGCAUAGUAUUCCAUGGUAUAUUAAGUACCACAUUUCUUUAUCCAGCCUAUCAUUGAUGGGCAUUUGGGUUGAUAGUCUGGAUGAAUUCUAAUGCACCAUUCUGUUCUAAGACAUCAGGAUUUGGCAGUAUGAUAGAAAGCCUUUGAUGUUCUAUGAUAGAAGUGCAAAAGUCUACACUUCUGUGAAAUAUGCAAAAAUACUUCCCAAUAAUUUCAAACCUCAGAACACACUGAUUGAUGAUAGUUCAUGAUGGGUAGCUCCAGAAACAAACAAACAAAAUGAUAAUAAUGAUUAUAACCUUUCAGCCAAAAAGAAAAAAAAAAGCAUAUUAACUUUACUGUUGUAGUGCCAGUACAACUUUUUAUUUUAUUUUUGAGACAGGUUUUCCCUCUGUUGCCUAGGCUGGAGUGCAAUAGUGUAAUCAUGGCUCACCGCAGCCUCAAACUACUGGGAUCAAGCAAUCCUCAUGCCUCAGCCUCCCCAGUAGCUGAGACUACAAGCAUGUGCUACUAUACCCAGCUAAUUUUUAAAUUUUUCUUUAUAGAGAUGGGGUCUCAUGACAUUGACAGGCUGGUUUCAAACUCCUGGUCUCAAGCCAGCUUCCUGCCUCAGUUUCCCAAAGUGUUGGGAUUAUAGGACUGAGCCAUUGCAUCCAGCCAGUCCAAAAUUAGUAACAAUACAUAGAGCAUAUAAAACCUAAGCUUAAGUAUUUUGCAAACAAAUCAGUCCUACCAUUUGUCUUUGGUGAAAAUGCGAGACUGAAGACAGAAAAAUUAUGUUUAAAGAACUGUGGUAUACCUGUUAUUAGAUUCUAGUAUCAGUUGUUUUUGAGGUUUUUUCCUGCAAUUUAGACUAAUCCUACUUAUUCCUGUGAACCAACCAGUGAUCUCUGCUGCUGCUCAGAAGAAAUAAAAGGGAUGGGUAAUGUAAAAAUCCUGAUCAGUAUUCUAAUUCUGGGCAGGUACUGGAAUCAGCCAGGGACCCCAUAUCAGCUUGGUUCCACAACAACUGCCUAGUUAAUAGAAAGCCUUCUUAUUUAGUUUACUUGGGAUAAUUUUACUUAUUUUGUUUUACUGUUGUAGAAUAUAUUGCUGUUGUACUCUUUGUGUAGGAAUGCAGAUAAGCUUACUGAAUGUUUUCUUAAAUUGAACACUUACUAUUCUUCCAGAUAGCACCUCUUGUUGGAACUCACUGUUAUCAAUGGCCCUCGCCAGACCUACGCUUUGUGACUGACCUCCUCUCUACCUUGAAUACAAGAGGCCCUCAUAGUUAGAUUGUAAGCUCCAUAAAGGAAAGGAUUUUUCUAUUUUGUUCACUGAUAUAACCCCACGUUGAGUACUUGGGAGGACCCUCAAAACAUCUUGCUGGAAGAAUGGCCAGAAGACGACCUUAUACCUCCUCCUUUCUCACCAGGCGGCCUCUGCAUCUAGUGCAUCCUUUCAUUUGGCAACCACUUUGAAGAAGACAAAUUCCAUUUCAAAUGAAGCAUCCCACUAAAUACUCCCUUUGGACAACUAAGAGAAAAUGAUUUAACAUCAAGUUGUAUUGGCUUCCUUUCCUCCUUCUAGACCGUAAGCUGUUUCUGCUGGAAACAAGGAGGAGGAAACCACAUUAACGAGGCUACAAGCAAGGGCAGUCCUGUGUGAGCUAUGUAGAACUAGGAAUGUCUAUCGUGAGAACAUAAAUUCAACAUGUUAAUAUGGCCACUAGGCAGUGAGCUGCAUAGGUGACCACAAAAGCUACCACUAGCUACACCACUGCCCAGUCCCAUAAGCUGCAACAGAAUGGGAGAUUUAAGUGCUUCUACUCAGAGCAACCUGGGCACAUCAGGGCUCUAUCACAAAGAGUUAAGAACCAGGAAAGCACUCUACUUAGAAGGUAUGGCUUGAUUCCCAAAUGAGAAAACUACCAGCUGGGCUAUCCAAAGAAACUGUGACCCACCUACACAGCAGCUAUUAAAACUGAGAUCCUGCCUGAAAUAAGAAAGACCUACAUACAUAAAAAAAAUUAAUCAAAAAACCACAUGUGCACACCUCAGAGCAAGUAGGCUUUAUUAUUCUAGCGUUUUCCUUUUCCAAGUAACAAUAAUAAUAGUUAACAUUUAAGUAGUGCCUUCUUUGUGAUAGGCACUCUUCCAAGAGCUUAAGAUACAAUAUUUAGCUUAAUCUUCCCAAUACCCUGUGCAGUAAGAACUUACCCCUGUUUCAAAGAUAAAGAUUAAACUGAGUCACAGAGUGUGCGCCCAAGGCCAUUUAGUUUAAAAAGCAGCAGGAUCAGGCUGGGUGUAGGGGCUCAUGCCUGUAAUCCCAACACUAUGGGAGGCCGAGGUGGGUGGAUCAUUUGAGGUCAGGAGUUUGAGACCAGCCUGGCCAACAUGGUGAAACCCCUUCUCUACUAAAAAUACAAAAAUUAACCAGGCGUGGUGGUGGGUGCCUGUAAUUCCAGUUACUCAGGAGGCUGAGGCAGGAGAAUCACUUGAACCUGGGAGGCGGAGAUUGCAGUGAACCAAGAUUGAGCCAUCACACUCCACCCUGGGUGACAAGAGCGAAACUUCAUCUCAAAAAAAAAAAAAAAAAAAAGUAGCAGGAUCAGAGUUUGAACAAGAGCCAGUACUAUUAACUCUAUGCCAUCAGGUCAAGACCUGGAUCUCAUCAGAAGGGAGGCUCCUCUAAUCUCCAUCAUAAAAUAACAUAACUACAGCAAAGAAAAUUAGAUGUACUCCUCAGGAUAUGUUUAAGCCUUAGAAAUGAAGACAAGGUGGUCAGAGACAGUGAGUCCUCCUCGGGAGAAGCAGUAGAGACCAUCUGCUGACCAAAUACAGAUUUCCGAGGAGGGGUGAAUCCCCAUGGGGCAUUAUUCCUUGACAUCAUAGGCUCUGCCCACUCCAAUCCCACACAACUUAUCCAGCUGGGCAACAGUGAUGCCAUCCAGUGAGCACCUAAUCAAAAUUUUAAAGGUUACAGGAAAAGUAUAAGAGGUUAUAGAUAUUUGGGAAGUGAAACAGGCAUAUAUAGAAAGUGCCUCAAAUCUCUGUUACAGAAAGCUUCUAAAGGAUCUCAGAAUAUAAAUUCCUUUUGGCAAAAGCUACUGUACUUAUAACCACAGACAAGAUAGUUGAAGGCACAAAGGUGAGGUCCACACAACUUGACAUACAGGAGAAAGGGCACCAGCUUAACAGUAUGUGGGGUAGGUAGGAACAGUUCUACUUACUAGCAACGUGACUUUGAAUAAGUCACUUCGCUUACCUGUCCUUCAAGUUUCCGUAUCUCUAAAAUAGACUAAGUCCUGUCUUAUAGACUAAUAGACCUGCCCUGAUCACCUUAACAAGUUGCUGCAGUAAUACCAUUUUAUUCAUUUUAAAAAAUCAGGAGAGGCUCUGUAGACCAAGUAUCUCCACAGC
Molecule: long non-coding RNA, 4045 nt
Filed under: Homo sapiens (human)
Lineage: Eukaryota; Metazoa; Chordata; Mammalia; Primates; Hominidae
Description: HSALNT0252247
Source: RNAcentral